UGGGAAACUAUGGGUAAUACUGAAUAAUAUCUCCGGAUCAAAGGUGUGAUUCCGCCGGAGGAGGGGUCCGCGUCCUAUUAGCUAGUUGGUGAGGUAACGGCUCACCAAGGCGAAGAUGGGUACGGGAUGUGAGAGCAUAAUCCCGCUCAUUGGGACUGAGACACUGCCCAGACACCUACGGGUGGCUGCAGUCGAGAAUCUUCGGCAAUGGGGGAAACCCUGACCGAGCGACGCCGCGUGUGAGAUGAAGGCCUUCGGGUUGUAAAUCACUGUCGUAGAGGAGGAAAUACUGGUGGGUUCUCCCAUCAGCUUGACCUAUUCCAGGAGGAAGGACGGGCUAAGUUCGUGCCAGCAGCCGCGGUAAUACGGACCGUCCAAACGUUAUUCGGAAUCACUGGGCUUAAAGGGUGCGUAGGCCGUUCGGAAAGUUGGGUGUGAAAUACCUCGGCUCAACCGAGGAACUGCGCCCAAAACUGCCGGACUAGAGGGAGACAUAGGUGUGCGGAACCUAGGGUGGAGCGGUGAAAUGCGUUGAGAUCCUAGGGAACACCAGUAGCGAAAGCGGCACACUGGGUCUCUUCUGACGCUGAUGCACGAAAGCUAGGGGAGCGAAGAGGAUUAGAUACCCUCGUAGUCCUAGCCGUAAACGAUGAGCACUGGUUUGGAGGCUCCUCCAUAGGC
Molecule: ribosomal RNA, 681 nt
Filed under: uncultured bacterium
Lineage: Bacteria
Description: bacterial SSU rRNA
Rfam family: Bacterial small subunit ribosomal RNA
Source: RNAcentral